RNAcentral lists this ribosomal RNA (161 nucleotides) under Laserpitium gallicum. RNAcentral describes it as "5.8S ribosomal RNA". It matches the Rfam family "5.8S ribosomal RNA". From Rfam's summary of the family: 5.8S ribosomal RNA (5.8S rRNA) is a component of the large subunit of the eukaryotic ribosome. It is transcribed by RNA polymerase I as part of the 45S precursor that also contains 18S and 28S rRNA. Lineage: Eukaryota; Viridiplantae; Streptophyta; Magnoliopsida; Apiales; Apiaceae. The record is from RNAcentral.
AAAUGACUCUCGGCAACGGAUAUCCCGGCUCUCGCAUCGAUGAAGAACGUAGCGAUGCGACACUUGGUGUGAAUUGCAGAAUCCCGUGAACCAUCGAGUCUUUGAACGCAAGUUGCGCCUGAAGCCAUUAGGCCGAGGGCACGUCUGCCUGGGUGUCACAC